Molecule: ribosomal RNA, 896 nt
Filed under: uncultured archaeon
Lineage: Archaea
Description: bacterial SSU rRNA
Rfam family: Archaeal small subunit ribosomal RNA
Source: RNAcentral
ACCUGACUGCUAUCGGAUUGGUACUAAGCCAUGUGAGUCAUUGUAGCAAUACAAGGCAUACGGCUCAGUAACACGUAGUCAAUCUGCCCUAUGGACGUGGAUAACCUCGGGAAACUGAGAAUAAUCCGCGAUAGAUCAUAAUGCCUGGAACGGUUUAUGGUCCAAAUGAUUCGUCGCCAUAGGAUGGGACUGCGGCCUAUCAGCUUGUUGGUGAGGUAAUGGCCCACCAAGGCUAUUACAGGUACGGGCUCUGAGAGGAGAAGCCCGGAGAUGGGUACUGAGACACGGACCCAGGCCCUAUGGGGCGCAGCAGGCGAGAAACCUUUGCAAUGUGCGCAAGCACGACAAGGUUAAUCCGAGUGUUUCCUGCUAAAGGAAUCUUUUGUUAGUUCUAAAACCACUGAUGAAUAAGGGGUGGGCAAGUUCUGGUGUCAGCCGCCGCGGUAAAACCAGCACCUCAAGUGGUCAGGAGGAUUGUUGGGCCUAAAGCAUCCGUAGCCGGUUCUGUAAGUUUCCGGUUAAAUCCACUAGCUCAACUAAUGGGCUGCCGGAAAUACUGCAGAACUAGGGAGUGGGAGAGGUAGACGGUACUCGGGAGGAAGGGGUAAAAUCCUUUGAUCUCUUGAUGACCACCUGUGGCGAAGGCGGUCUACCAGAACACGUUCGACGGUGAGGGAUGAAAGCUGGGGGAGCAAACCGGAUUAGAUACCCGGGUAGUCCCAGCUGUAAACGAUGCAGACUCGGUGAUGCACUGGCUUUUGGCCAGUGCAGUGCCGCAGGGAAGCCGUUAAGUUUGCCGCCUGGGAAGUACGUACGCAAGUAUGAAACUUAAAGGAAUUGGCGGGGGAGCACCACAAGGGGUGAAGCCUGCGGUUCAAUUGGAGUCAACGCCGAAA